GGGUUGUGAGGUUAAGCGACUAAGCGUACACGGUGGAUGCCCUGGCAGUCAGAGGCGAUGAAGGGCGUGCUAAUCUGCGAUAAGCGCCGGUAAGGUGAUAUGAACCGUUAUAACCGGCGAUACCCGAAUGGGGAAACCCAGUGUGACUCGUCACACUAUCAUUAACUGAAUCCAUAGGUUAAUGAGGCGAACCGGGGGAACUGAAACAUCUAAGUACCCCGAGGAAAAGAAAUCAACCGAGAUUCCCCCAGUAGCGGCGAGCGAACGGGGAGGAGCCCAGAGCCUGAAUCAGCAUGUGUGUUAGUGGAAGCGUCUGGAAAGGCGCGCGAUACAGGGUGACAGCCCCGUACACAAAAGCGCAUGUGCUGUGAGCUCGAUGAGUAGGGCGGGACACGUGGUAUCCUGUCUGAAUAUGGGGGGACCAUCCUCCAAGGCUAAAUACUCCUGACUGACCGAUAGUGAACCAGUACCGUGAGGGAAAGGCGAAAAGAACCCCGGCGAGGGGAGUGAAAAAGAACCUGAAACCGUGUACGUACAAGCAGUGGGAGCACCCUUCGGGGUGUGACUGCGUACCUUUUGUAU
RNAcentral lists this ribosomal RNA (582 nucleotides) under Salmonella enterica subsp. enterica serovar Bovismorbificans. RNAcentral describes it as "partial 23S ribosomal RNA". It matches the Rfam family "Bacterial large subunit ribosomal RNA", at positions 1 to 613 of the family's 2925-position model. The record is from RNAcentral. Lineage: Bacteria; Pseudomonadati; Pseudomonadota; Gammaproteobacteria; Enterobacterales; Enterobacteriaceae. RNAcentral also lists the same sequence under 1 other name.